Molecule: ribosomal RNA, 254 nt
Filed under: uncultured bacterium
Lineage: Bacteria
Description: partial 16S ribosomal RNA
Rfam family: Bacterial small subunit ribosomal RNA
Source: RNAcentral
UACGGGGGGAGCAAGCGUUGUUCGGAUUUACUGGGCGUAAAGGGCGCGUAGGCGGCCACUGCAAGUCAGUUGUGAAAUCUCCGGGCUUAACCCGGAAAGGUCAACUGAUACUGCAGGGCUAGAGUGCAGAAGGGGCAACUGGAAUUCUCGGUGUAGCGGUGAAAUGCGUAGAUAUCGAGAGGAACACCUGCGGCGAAGGCGGGUUGCUGGGCUGACACUGACGCUGAGGCGCGAAAGCCAGGGGAGCGAGCGGG